UACGAGCGGCCCAAACGUUAUUCGGAAUUACUGGGCGUAAAGGGCUCGUAGGCGGCCAACUAAGUCAGACGUGAAAUCCCUCGGCUUAACCGGGGAACUGCGUCUGAUACUGGAUGGCUUGAGGUUGGGAGAGGGAUGCGGAAUUCCAGGUGUAGCGGUGAAAUGCGUAGAUAUCUGGAGGAACACCGGUGGCGAAGGCGGCAUCCUGGACCAAUUCUGACGCUGAGGAGCGAAAGCCAGGGGAGCAAACGGG
RNAcentral lists this ribosomal RNA (253 nucleotides) under uncultured bacterium. RNAcentral describes it as "partial 16S ribosomal RNA". It matches the Rfam family "Bacterial small subunit ribosomal RNA", at positions 524 to 776 of the family's 1533-position model. The record is from RNAcentral.